Molecule: ribosomal RNA, 449 nt
Filed under: uncultured bacterium
Lineage: Bacteria
Description: bacterial SSU rRNA
Rfam family: Bacterial small subunit ribosomal RNA
Source: RNAcentral
GCCCAGACUCCUACGGGAGGCAGCAGUGGGGAAUAUUGCACAAUGGGGGGAACCCUGAUGCAGCGACGCCGCGUGGGUGAAGGAGCACCUCGGUGCGUAAAGCCCUAUCGGCAGGGAAGAAACAGACGGUACCUGACUAAGAAGCCCCGGCUAACUACGUGCCAGCAGCCGCGGUAAUACGUAGGGGGCAAGCGUUAUCCGGAGUCACUGGGUGUAAAGGGAGCGUAGACGGCGACGCAAGUCUGGAGUGAAAGCCCGGGGCCCAACCCCGGGACUGCAUUGGGAACUGGCGUGCUGGAGUGCCGGAGGGGCAGGCGGAAUUCCUGGUGUAGCGGUGAAAUGCGUAGAUAUCAGGAGGAACACCGGUGGCGAAGGCGGCCUGCUGGAUGGAUACUGACGCUGAGGCCCGAAAGCGUGGGGAGCAAACAGGAUUAGAUACCCCCGUAGCA